This 989-nucleotide non-coding RNA is filed under the name Perkinsus marinus ATCC 50983. RNAcentral's name for it is "Eukaryotic large subunit ribosomal RNA". It matches the Rfam family "Eukaryotic large subunit ribosomal RNA", at positions 1 to 859 of the family's 3401-position model. The record is from Rfam by way of RNAcentral. Lineage: Eukaryota; Perkinsozoa; Perkinsida; Perkinsidae.
AAGGCCUGAUGUGUGUGAGAUUACCCGCUGAAUUUAAGCAUAUAAGUAAGCGGAGGAAAAGAAACUAACUAGGAUUCCUUAGUAAUGGCGAAUGAACAGGGAUCAGCUCAGUGCCAAAUCGGAAUCACUUGUGGUUCUGAAAUGUGGCUUGAAGGCAGUACCAGUGGCAUCGCGGACGAAAGUCUCUUGGAAAAGAGCGUCAUAGAGGGUGAGAAUCCCGUGAGUCGUUCGCCGUUUGUCACGUACGGUCUGCGUUCUAACGAGUCGCGUUCCUUGGGAUUGGAGCGUAAACGGGUGGUAAAUUUCAUCCAAAGCAAAAUAUAUACUCGAGACCGAUAGCACAAAAGUACCGUGAGGGAAAGGUGAAAAGAACUUUGAGAAGAGGGUUAAAUAGUGCCUGAAAUCGUUGAGAAGGAAGCGGAUGCCGCCGUUGCAUAUGCUGAUUGUAGGAUUGCUGCUCGCUCCUGUCUUCUGCUACUCAUUCACAGACCUGGUCGUGUUGAGCAGUUGUUUGGCAGAUGUUAGUGGUGUUUCCUACUUUCAGUCGUCAGCAUCACUGGCUGAGUGGAAAUAAUCCUUGGAUGCUAAUUGGUUCGCUAUCUGUGAAUUGGUUGCUUCCUUGCGAUACUCACUACUCGGUCAGUGAGGAAGUGCGUUUGCUGGUCAACGAGCUUUCUAACUGUCAUUACCCUGCGCUUUUCGAUUCGUCGAGUGGCCAGGAUGUGGCUUUGAGAUUGUUCGCACUUAGUAAUCGCGAUGCUGGCUUCCAACGGUUGCCUCCGGCCCGUCUUGAAACACGGACCAAGGAGUCUAACGUAUGUGCGAGUGUGUGAGUGGCAAACUUAUACGCGUAAUGAAAGUGAGGCCGUAUGGCCAUGUUGGGGUCACCAACAACCGACCUUGAUCUUCGGUGAAAGGUUUGAGUAUGAGCAUAUCCGUUAGGACCCGAAAGAUGGUGAACUAUGCCUGAGCAGGGUGAAGCCAGGGAA